This 433-nucleotide ribosomal RNA is filed under the name uncultured bacterium. RNAcentral describes it as "partial 16S ribosomal RNA". It matches the Rfam family "Bacterial small subunit ribosomal RNA", at positions 29 to 507 of the family's 1533-position model. The record is from RNAcentral.
AGCGAACGCUGGCGGCAGGCCUAACACAUGCAAGUCGAACGAACUCUUCGGAGUUAGUGGCGGACGGGUGAGUAACACGUGGGAACAUGCCUUUUGGUUCGGAAUAACUCAGGGAAACUUGUGCUAAUACCGAAUGCGCCCUUCGGGGGAAAGAUUUAUCGCCAUUAGAGCGGCCCGCGUCUGAUUAGCUAGUUGGUGAGGUAACGGCUCACCAAGGCGACGAUCAGUAGCUGGUCUGAGAGGAUGACCAGCCACACUGGGACUGAGACACGGCCCAGACUCCUACGGGAGGCAGCAGUGGGGAAUCUUGCGCAAUGGGCGAAAGCCUGACGCAGCCAUGCCGCGUGAAUGAUGAAGGUCUUAGGAUUGUAAAAUUCUUUCACCGGGGACGAUAAUGACGGUACCCGGAGAAGAAGCCCCGGCUAACUUCGUG